UCUCCGUUGGUGAACCAGCGGAGGGAUCAUUACUGGAAUCGCAAGAUCCCACAACCCUGUGAACCUACCGAAACGUUGCCUCGGCGGGUGCCCGGCCUCUGCGCCGGGCGCUGCGCCCGCCGGCGGCCCCCUACUCUGUCUCUGCAGCGUGGCAUCUCAGAGUCCCAGAAAACAAGUCAAAACUUUCAACAACGGAUCUCUUGGCUCUAGCAUCGGUGAAGAACGCAGC
Molecule: unclassified non-coding RNA, 229 nt
Filed under: plant metagenome
Description: partial contains small subunit ribosomal RNA, internal transcribed spacer 1, and 5.8S ribosomal RNA
Rfam family: 5.8S ribosomal RNA (bases 181-229)
Source: RNAcentral